AUUUGAUGGGAUGGUUAAGAGAUUAUCUAUGGUUAAACUCUUCACAACUUAUCAAUGGAUAUAAUCCUUUUGGUAUGAAUAGUUUAUCGGUCUGGGCGUGGAUGUUCUUAUUUGGACAUCUUGUUUGGGCUACUGGAUUUAUGUUUUUGAUUUCCUGGCGUGGGUAUUGGCAGGAAUUAAUUGAAACUUUAGCAUGGGCUCAUGAGCGCACACCUUUAGCAAAUUUGAUUCGAUGGAGAGAUAAGCCAGUGGCCCUUUCCAUUGUGCAAGCAAGAUUGGUUGGAUUGGCCCAUUUUUCUGUAGGUUAUAUAUUCACUUAUGCCGCUUUCUUGAUUGCCUCUACAUCAGCAAAAUUUGGUUAAUUUAGUUAUUUAUUUUAUUUAUGUGCUGUAUCGGCAAGAAUUUCAUUCCUUUUCUUUCGAUGGAUAAGGGGAUCCCCCUUCUUAUAUUUCUACAUCUAGGAUCCGAACUAUAUUAUUGAUAAUAAAAUAAUAGGAACUGAACAUUAUGGCAAGAAAAAGUUUGAUUCAGAGGGAGAGGAAGAGACAGAAAUUGGAGCAGAAAUAUCAUUUGAUUCGUCGAUCCUUAAAAAAAGAAAUAAGCAAAAUUCCGUCGUUGAGUGAAAAAUGGGAAAUUCAUGGAAAAUUGCAAUCCCUACCGCGUAAUAGUGCACCCACACGUCUCCAUCGACGUUGUUUUUUGACCGGAAGACCUAGAGGUAACUAUCGAGACUUUGGACUAUCCGGACACAUACUUCGAGAGAUGGUUAAUACAUGUUUGUUACCGGGCGCUACAAGGUCCAGUUGGUAAGGAUAAAAAUACCGUUUACUAUGUUUUGUAUGGAUCUCUAUGAUCUAUGAUCAUGGAGGGGCCCCUCUUUACCAUUCUGUAUAAAUGGACUAUUCUAAUUAUAUAGAUAUGGUAGAGGGGCAUAUCUCAUUUUUGUCCAAUAGUUCUUAGUUCUUCAGCGCGGAGUAGAGCAGUUUGGUAGCUCGCAAGGCUCAUAACCUUGAGGUCACGGGUUCAAAUCCUGUCUCCGCAACGCAACAUAUAUAUAUAUUUUUUCAAAUCAAAAUAUAUACAAAAUAUAUAUAUCUAUUUUUUUUUUUUUAUUUUAGGUGUGAUUCCAUUAUCUAGUCAUUAAUAAC
This 1148-nucleotide long non-coding RNA is filed under the name Spirodela polyrhiza (greater duckweed). Its description in RNAcentral is "long non-coding RNA (SPOL_LNC000224)". The stretch from base 969 to 1042 matches the Rfam family "tRNA". Lineage: Eukaryota; Viridiplantae; Streptophyta; Magnoliopsida; Alismatales; Araceae. The record is from RNAcentral.